AACGAACGCUGGCGGCGCGCCUAAUACAUGCAAGUCGAGCGAGAAGACGUAGCAAUACGUUUGUAAAGCGGCGAACGGGUGAGGAAUACAUGGGUAACCUACCCUCGAGUGGGGAAGUAACUAGCCGAAGGUUAGCUAAUACCGCGUACGCUCCUCGGACUUCGGUUCAGGGAGGAAAGACGAUACCGUGGGUAGUCGCGCUCUUGGAUGGGCGUCAUGUCCUAUCAGCUUGUUGGUGAGGUAACGGCUCACCAAGGCUUCGACGGGUA
RNAcentral lists this ribosomal RNA (269 nucleotides) under uncultured bacterium. Its description in RNAcentral is "partial 16S ribosomal RNA". It matches the Rfam family "Bacterial small subunit ribosomal RNA", at positions 29 to 285 of the family's 1533-position model. The record is from RNAcentral.